Molecule: ribosomal RNA, 505 nt
Filed under: uncultured bacterium
Lineage: Bacteria
Description: partial 16S ribosomal RNA
Rfam family: Bacterial small subunit ribosomal RNA
Source: RNAcentral
GAUGAACGCUAGCUACAGGCUUAACACAUGCAAGUCGAGGGGUAACGAGAGGAAAGCUUGCUUUCCUUGUCGACGACCGGCGCACGGGUGAGUAACGCGUAUCCAACCUGCCCCCAACUAGGGAAUAACCUUGCGAAAGUAAGACUAAUACCCUAUAAUUUCCUCAGAUGUCAUCUGACGAGGAAUAAAGAUUUAUCGGUUGUGGAUGGGGAUGCGUCUGAUUAGCUUGUGGCGGGGUAACGGCCCACCAAGGCAACGAUCAGUAGGGGUUCUGCGAGGAAGGACCCCCACAUUGGAACUGAGACACGGUCCAAACGCCAACGGGAGGCAGCAGUGAGGAAUAUUGGUCAAUGGGCGGAAGCCUGAACCAGCCAAGUAGCGUGCAGGAUGACGGCCCUAUGGGUUGUAAACUGCUUUUAUACAGGAAUAAAGUUAGCCACGUGUGGUUAUUUGUAGGUACUGUAUGAAUAAGGACCGGCUAAUUCCGUGCCAGCAGCCGCAGUAA